This 465-nucleotide ribosomal RNA is filed under the name uncultured Klebsiella sp. Its description in RNAcentral is "bacterial SSU rRNA". It matches the Rfam family "Bacterial small subunit ribosomal RNA", at positions 338 to 795 of the family's 1533-position model. Lineage: Bacteria; Pseudomonadati; Pseudomonadota; Gammaproteobacteria; Enterobacterales; Enterobacteriaceae. The record is from RNAcentral.
CCUACGGGCGGCUGCAGAGGGGAAUAUUGCACAAUGGGCGCAAGCCUGAUGCAGCCAUGCCGCGUGUGUGAAGAAGGCCUUCGGGUUGUAAAGCACUUUCAGCGGGGAGGAAGGCGGUGAGGUUAAUAACCUCAUCGAUUGACGUUACCCGCAGAAGAAGCACCGGCUAACUCCGUGCCAGCAGCCGCGGUAAUACGGAGGGUGCAAGCGUUAAUCGGAAUUACUGGGCGUAAAGCGCACGCAGGCGGUCUGUCAAGUCGGAUGUGAAAUCCCCGGGCUCAACCUGGGAACUGCAUUCGAAACUGGCAGGCUAGAGUCUUGUAGAGGGGGGUAGAAUUCCAGGUGUAGCGGUGAAAUGCGUAGAGAUCUGGAGGAAUACCGGUGGCGAAGGCGGCCCCCUGGACAAAGACUGACGCUCAGGUGCGAAAGCGUGGGGAGCAAACAGGAUUAGAUACCCGUGUAGUC